Molecule: unclassified non-coding RNA, 350 nt
Filed under: Zea mays
Lineage: Eukaryota; Viridiplantae; Streptophyta; Magnoliopsida; Poales; Poaceae
Description: misc RNA Zm00001eb198380
Source: RNAcentral
CCGGUAGCCAUAGUAGUUCCUGUAGUUGCCGUAGAUGAAGACCUCCUUCCUCUUCCGCUUCUGCGAGCCGCCGCCGCUGCCUGCGCCGACCUCUCUAUGUUCGUUGCUCCCCUUCGUGUUGGCCUCUCCUUUAGGCCCCUUAGCCGCGGGCGGCGCGCCCUCCGGCUCCGUAGAGGUGGCCAUGAUGCGAGAAAGGAUGUUUCCCUCGCCGCCGCAGCCGCGCUCUCGAUGACUGGAAUAGUGGAAUGCGAGAGUUCCCCGACUGCAAAGGGUUUUCCUUUUUUUUUGGAAUUGAAACGAGCGAAGCGGCGCGAGGGUUUUCCCUUGCGGCGCCGGGUUGAGAAAGGGCC